RNAcentral lists this ribosomal RNA (497 nucleotides) under uncultured bacterium. RNAcentral describes it as "partial 16S ribosomal RNA". It matches the Rfam family "Bacterial small subunit ribosomal RNA", at positions 28 to 507 of the family's 1533-position model. The record is from RNAcentral.
GAUGAACGCUGGCGGCGUGCCUAAUACAUGCAAGUCGAGCGAACAGACGAGGAGCUUGCUCCUCUGACGUUAGCGGCGGACGGGUGAGUAACACGUGGAUAACCUACCUAUAAGACUGGGAUAACUUCGGGAAACCGGAGCUAAUACCGGAUAACAUGUUGAACCGCAUGGUUCAACAGUGAAAGACGGUCUCGCUGUCGCUUAUAGAUGGAUCCGCGCCGCAUUAGCUAGUUGGUAAGGUAACGGCUUACCAAGGCAACGAUGCGUAGCCGACCUGAGAGGGUGAUCGGCCACACUGGAACUGAGACACGGUCCAGACUCCUACGGGAGGCAGCAGUAGGGAAUCUUCCGCAAUGGGCGAAAGCCUGACGGAGCAACGCCGCGUGAGUGAAGAAGGUCUUCGGAUCGUAAAACUCUGUUAUUAGGGAAGAACAAAUGUGUAAGUAACUAUGCACGUCUUGACGGUACCUAAUCAGAAAGCCACGGCUAACUACGUG